CAGUAGCCGCGGUAAUACGGAGGGGGCUAGCGCUGUUCGGAAUUACUGGGCGUAAAGCGCACGUAGGCGGCUUGGUAAGUUAGAGGUGAAAGCCCAGGGCUCAACCCUGGAAUUGCCUUUAAGACUGCCGAGCUAGUAGGUGAGAGAGGUAAGUGGAAUUCCGAGUGUAGAGGUGAAAUUCGUAGAUAUUCGGAAGAACACCAGUGGCGAAGGCGGCUUACUGGCUCAUUCUAGACGCUGAGGUGCGAAAGCGUGGGGAGCAAACAGGAUUAGAUACCCGAGUAGUCCCUGUCUCUUAUAC
RNAcentral lists this ribosomal RNA (301 nucleotides) under uncultured bacterium. Its description in RNAcentral is "partial 16S ribosomal RNA". It matches the Rfam family "Bacterial small subunit ribosomal RNA", at positions 509 to 807 of the family's 1533-position model. The record is from RNAcentral.